CUAUACGCGGGCUCCACCGAAGUUUUCUCAGGGGCUCAGGGCUUUCUCUCCCGAGCCAAACACCGCCGCCACCGCCGCCGGAAGAGGGGGGUUCGCCGCUGGCAAGUCUUCCAGGAUGGGGUACCACCGCAAUAGGCGCGGGCGUGGAUCCUCGUCGUCGUCCUCCUCCUCCUCUUCGCGCCGCACCAAGCAAGAAGCCUCGUGCGAUGAUGCUCCUGGGACAUCACUUCCAAGGCAGGAAGACAACGCCGAAGAGGAAUCUAAUAGCCCAAAAAUUCAGCUUGCAAUGUGGGACUUUGGGCAAUGCGAUGCUAAAAGAUGCACUGGUCGCAAGCUUUCAAGAUUUGGGCUGUUAAAGGAGUUGCGAGUUACGAAUGGUUUUGGUGGUGUUGUUCUCAGCCCUGUUGGGACACAUUGUGUGUCCAAGGAAGAUCAUCCUAUCGUGCAACGAAAAGGAUUGGCCGUGGUUGAUUGUUCUUGGGCACGUUUAGAUGAUGUCCCUUUUGUGAAACUCCGUUGUGGUGCUCCUCGUCUCUUGCCAUGGUUGGUAGCAGCAAACCCUGUAAAUUAUGGCCGGCCAUGUCAGCUUUCCUGUGUGGAAGCUUUGUCAGCAGCCCUCAUAAUAUGUGGGGAGGAAGAGACAGGAGAACAGCUGCUUGCGAAAUUCAAGUGGGGUCACUCAUUCUUAUCACUUAACAGGGAUCUGCUGAAAGCAUACUCCAAGUGUGAAAAUGGCACCGAGAUAAUCAACGUGCAGAACUCGUGGCUGUCAAGCGCAUCUAGUGUUUCAAAGUCACCUGUAAACGUGGCAGAUAAACCACACCGAAGCACAGAGGAAGGAUCAGAUUCUGAAUCUGACGAUGGCUUGCCCCCUCUGGAAGAGAACAUGAACCACUUGGACCUUAGCGAGGACGAAGAAAGUGAAGAGGAAAGUGAAACUGAAAACGAAGGGAUUACCAACGCAAAAUGAUGUUUGUUUGUCCGAAUCAAAAUAAGAUCCAGGUCUCUUGAGGUGUUGGUCGUGGAUCUGAAAACAAUCUAUCUCUGUACACUCGUAUUGCUUGCUUGCUUCGUGUAACAGUAGAUGUAUUUUUCUUUUCAGGGAUUCGUGUACCAGUAUAUGUAAGUGUAAACUGUAAACACACACUCUCUUUG
RNAcentral lists this ribosomal RNA (1155 nucleotides) under Triticum aestivum (bread wheat). RNAcentral's name for it is "partial small subunit ribosomal RNA". Lineage: Eukaryota; Viridiplantae; Streptophyta; Magnoliopsida; Poales; Poaceae. The record is from RNAcentral.